UACAAUAGAAAUCUUUAGUUGUGGCCUGAAAAUUAUUCUUCAUUCGCGACUAUGUAUUUUGUAACUCAGUUAACUGUAGUUGCAUCUUUGGCGAUAAUUUGUUCAAUUUUGCACAUGGCUCAUGCAAUCAGCUGCAAGGAAGUAUUUGAUAAAAAAAAUGAAAUUCAAGACUGUUGCUCGGCUCCAACAUACUUAAAUACUGAAGGGCUCAAAGAAUGCUUUGAAGAAAACAAAGACAAAGAAAAACGCGAAAUGUUUGCUUGUUCACUUGAGUGCUUUUUCAAACGGUACCAAGUUCUGGAAGAUGACGGUGAAGUUUCCAAGGAAAAGAUGCUUGCAAAAGUUGAAGGAUUCGAGGGCGAAUGGAAACAAACGAGCACAAAAAUGAUCGAAGAAUUGCUAAAUAUGAUGGACUGAAGGCCAAAUAUGGCGACGGUGGAAAAAGGAGAGCUGCAAUCCGUCGUCUAGUUUCAUGAACAUGUGUCUAGCAAGAAGUUUAUCGAAUAUUGUCCAGCCGAGCACUGGAACGAUUCCGACCUGUGCAACAAAAUCAGAAGUGGUGAAUGUGAACCC
Culex quinquefasciatus (southern house mosquito) is the source of this 573-nucleotide long non-coding RNA. RefSeq lists it as uncharacterized. The transcript is spliced from 5 exons. The record is from RefSeq and is a predicted model, not a curated record. Lineage: Eukaryota; Metazoa; Arthropoda; Insecta; Diptera; Culicidae.